RNAcentral lists this unclassified non-coding RNA (171 nucleotides) under uncultured Trichoderma. RNAcentral's name for it is "partial internal transcribed spacer 2". Lineage: Eukaryota; Fungi; Ascomycota; Sordariomycetes; Hypocreales; Hypocreaceae. The record is from RNAcentral.
CAACCCUCGAGCCCCUCCGGGGGGUCGGCGUUGGGGAUCGGCCCUCCCUCGCGGGGGCCGGCCCCGAAAUGCAGUGGCGGUCUCGCCGCAGCCUCUCCUGCGCAGUAGUUUGCACAACUCGCACCGGGAGCGCGGCGGGCCCAUGCCGUGAAACAACCCAACCUUCUGAAA